Molecule: transfer RNA, 72 nt
Filed under: Colletotrichum orbiculare MAFF 240422
Lineage: Eukaryota; Fungi; Ascomycota; Sordariomycetes; Glomerellales; Glomerellaceae
Description: tRNA-Gly (TCC) (tRNA-Gly-TCC-3-1)
Rfam family: tRNA
About the family: Transfer RNA (tRNA) molecules are approximately 80 nucleotides in length. Their secondary structure includes four short double-helical elements and three loops (D, anti-codon, and T loops). Further hydrogen bonds mediate the characteristic L-shaped molecular structure. tRNAs have two regions of fundamental functional importance: the anti-codon, which is responsible for specific mRNA codon recognition, and the 3' end, to which the tRNAs corresponding amino acid is attached (by aminoacyl-tRNA synthetases). tRNAs cope with the degeneracy of the genetic code in two manners: having more than one tRNA (with a specific anti-codon) for a particular amino acid; and 'wobble' base-pairing, i.e. permitting non-standard base-pairing at the 3rd anti-codon position.
Source: RNAcentral
GGGGCCGUGGCUCAGUGGUUAAAGCGCUCUCUUUCCGAGAGAGAGGCGGUGGUUCGAAUCCAUCCGGCCCCA